This is a non-coding RNA of Acanthosepion pharaonis, 115 nucleotides long. The record is from the annotation of a GenBank genome assembly. NCBI's taxonomy places the organism in Eukaryota, Metazoa, Mollusca, Cephalopoda, Sepiida, Sepiidae.
CUUGCGGCCACAUCAAGUUGAAACACCGGCUCCCGUACGAUCACCAAAGUUAAACAACGUCGGGCCUGGUCAGUAAUUAAAUGGGUGACCGCUUGGGGAUACCAGGUGCUGUAAU